UGGUGGCGAUAGCGAAGAGGUCACACCCGUUCCCAUUCCGAACACGGCAGUUAAGCUCUUCAGCGCCAAUGGUAGUUGGGGGUUUCCCCCUGUGAGAGUAGGACGCCGCCAAGCC
This 115-nucleotide ribosomal RNA is filed under the name Streptococcus pneumoniae. Lineage: Bacteria; Bacillati; Bacillota; Bacilli; Lactobacillales; Streptococcaceae. The record is from RNAcentral.